RNAcentral lists this ribosomal RNA (753 nucleotides) under uncultured Pseudomonas sp. RNAcentral's name for it is "bacterial SSU rRNA". It matches the Rfam family "Bacterial small subunit ribosomal RNA", at positions 28 to 776 of the family's 1533-position model. Lineage: Bacteria; Pseudomonadati; Pseudomonadota; Gammaproteobacteria; Pseudomonadales; Pseudomonadaceae. The record is from RNAcentral.
AUUGAACGCUGGCGGCAGGCCUAACACAUGCAAGUCGAGCGGAUGACGGGAGCUUGCUCCUUGAUUCAGCGGCGGACGGGUGAGUAAUGCCUAGGAAUCUGCCUGGUAGUGGGGGACAACAUUUCGAAAGGAACGCUAAUACCGCGUACGUCCUACGGGAGAAAGCAGGGGACCUUCGGGCCUUGCGCUAUCAGAUGAGCCUAGGUCGGAUUAGCUAGUUGGUGGGGUAAUGGCUCACCAAGGCGACGAUCCGUAACUGGUCUGAGAGGAUGAUCAGUCACACUGGAACUGAGACACGGUCCAGACUCCUACGGGAGGCAGCAGUGGGGAAUAUUGGACAAUGGGCGAAAGCCUGAUCCAGCCAUGCCGCGUGUGUGAAGAAGGUCUUCGGAUUGUAAAGCACUUUAAGUCGGGAGGAAGGGCAGUAAGUUAAUACCUUGCUGUUUUGACGUUACCGACAGAAUAAGCACCGGCUAACUCUGUGCCAGCAGCCGCGGUAAUACAGAGGGUGCAAGCGUUAAUCGGAAUUACUGGGCGUAAAGCGCGCGUAGGUGGUUUGUUAAGUUGGAUGUGAAAGCCCCGGGCUCAACCUGGGAACUGCAUCCAAAACUGGCAAGCUAGAGUACGGUAGAGGGUGGUGGAAUUUCCUGUGUAGCGGUGAAAUGCGUAGAUAUAGGAAGGAACACCAGUGGCGAAGGCGACCACCUGGACUGAUACUGACACUGAGGUGCGAAAGCGUGGGGAGCAAACAGG